Sinocyclocheilus anshuiensis is the source of this 157-nucleotide long non-coding RNA. RefSeq lists it as uncharacterized. The transcript has 3 exons. NCBI's taxonomy places the organism in Eukaryota, Metazoa, Chordata, Actinopteri, Cypriniformes, Cyprinidae. The record is from RefSeq and is a predicted model, not a curated record.
CACUGUCAUGGUGACGGAGGCCGACCUCUCCUCUAGCUGCCAAGGUGGGCCUCUGGAAUGCACCUUGAUUCGUUGCUUCAGGUAUGUUUGAUUGGAGUUAAAGCUCCGCAGGAAGGUAGAUUCCAAGAUGUAGCGCCCCUGAUUUAGAUUGUCCCAG